UACGUAGGGUGCAAGCGUUAAUCGGAAUUAUCUGGGCGUAAAGCGUGCGCAGGCGGUUUUGUAAGUCUGUCGUGAAAUCCCCGGGCUUAACCUGGGAAUUGCGAUGGAGACUGCAAGGCUAGAAUCUGGCAGAGGGGGGUAGAAUUCCACGUGUAGCAGUGGAAUGCGUAGAGAUGUGGAGGAACACCGAUGGCGAAGGCAGCCCCCUGGGUCAAGGAUU
RNAcentral lists this ribosomal RNA (220 nucleotides) under uncultured bacterium. Its description in RNAcentral is "partial 16S ribosomal RNA". It matches the Rfam family "Bacterial small subunit ribosomal RNA", at positions 524 to 741 of the family's 1533-position model. The record is from RNAcentral.